UACGUAGGGUGCAAGCGUUAAUCGGAAUUACUGGGCGUAAAGCGUGCGCAGGCGGUUAUGCAAGACAGAUGGGAAAUCCCCGGGCUCAACCUGGGAACUGCAUUUGUGACUGCAUAGCUAGAGUACGGUAGAGGGGGAUGGAAUUCCGCGUGUAGCAGUGAAAUGCGUAGAUAUGCGGAGGAACACCGAUGGCGAAGGCAAUCCCCUGGACCUGUACUGACGCUCAUGCACGAAAGCGUGGGGAGCAAACAGG
RNAcentral lists this ribosomal RNA (253 nucleotides) under uncultured bacterium. RNAcentral describes it as "partial 16S ribosomal RNA". It matches the Rfam family "Bacterial small subunit ribosomal RNA", at positions 524 to 776 of the family's 1533-position model. The record is from RNAcentral.